GCUAAUGACGGUACCUGAAGAAUAAGCACCGGCUAACUACGUGCCAGCAGCCGCGGUAAUACGUAGGGUGCAAGCGUUAAUCGGAAUUACUGGGCGUAAAGCGUGCGCAGGCGGUUUUGUAAGUCUGUCGUGAAAUCCCCGGGCUCAACCUGGGAAUGGCGAUGGAGACUGCAAGGCUAGAGUUUGGCAGAGGGGGGUAGAAUUCCACGUGUAGCAGUGAAAUGCGUAGAUAUGUGGAGGAACACCGAUGGCGAAGGCAGCCCCCUGGGUCAAAACUGACGCUCAUGCACGAAAGCGUGGGGAGCAAACAGGAUUAGAUACCCUGGUAGUCCACGCCCUAAACGAUGUCUACUAGUUGUCGGGUCUUAAUUGACUUGGUAACGCAGCUAACGCGUGAAGUAGACCGCCUGGGGAGUACGGUCGCAAGAUUAAAACUCAAAGGAAUUGACGGGGACCCGCACAAGCGGUGGAUGAUGUGGAUUAAUUCGAUGCAACGCGAAAAACCUUACCUACCCUUGACAUGGAUGGAAUC
This 532-nucleotide ribosomal RNA is filed under the name Rugamonas aquatica. RNAcentral describes it as "bacterial SSU rRNA". It matches the Rfam family "Bacterial small subunit ribosomal RNA", at positions 465 to 997 of the family's 1533-position model. The record is from RNAcentral. Lineage: Bacteria; Pseudomonadati; Pseudomonadota; Betaproteobacteria; Burkholderiales; Oxalobacteraceae.